UUUUUAAGAAGAAAACAACCGUAUGUUUUCAUGGCAGAUGCCAUGAUUUGCUUAAGGACAUAUAUCCUGUAACUCUGCCAUCAUGUUCACAUAUUACCUAUUGGACCCUUAUUGAAAUUCAGUUAACUGAUGGGUUGAACAGUUUCGUCGAGAGCCUUUAAUGCAUUCUUGGUUACCAUUCUCCGAUAUCCAAUUUUGAUCCGCUAUCCCCUGUUGUCUUGAUUCAAUUGCAUCACCAUAUUAAUUUCCCCACUCUUUCUCUAGAAUAGAGUCCUCAUCUGAGAGUAUAAUCCCCUCCUCCUACAGAAUCCUCUCCAAAGUCAAGAACCAGUAAAACAUUAUGGGUUAUGAUUGUAUUUUUUUCCUACGUCAAUCUGCCGUUACACGUUGUAGCAAUCAAUGGUGUUAGAGGAAUUGUUAAGAGAAUCAGCUCAGGUAUGUUAAGGUCAUUCUUUCUUUUUGGCAUGGUUUAUACGCCAAGGUAAAACGAGUAGAUAUGCAAAUUCUAUAAAUGAAUCUAUUCAUAGAGGUAUUAGAGAUGUCUACGUUCUUGAAUUUCCAUAUGUUUUAUUAUUCUAUCGUCUGUUCAUGGGUCUCAAAAAUACGUAAGUUGGUAAAAUUUAUUUCAUGAUAUUAAUCAAAGGUAUAAUGGUCUUAGUUUAAAAAUUAAGAAUAUUUUGACGAAGAACGCUUUACCUCCUCUUACUACGACACUCAAACUAAAUUGGAAUUUGUCGGCACAGAAAGUAGGAGUAUAUAAUUUCAAAUAUGGAAUGCGUAAAAUAGACAGUAAAUUGUAACCCUCUAGAGCUUCUAAAUCUGUCUUGUUCUCUUUUGGUAAUAAUUUGUGGUAAUUAAUUAAUAGUUUGUAGUAUAUAAUUAUAAGUCAUGGCAACGGUCCAUUGAAAAUAACAAUAACUGUUAGUAAAUUUUUUUAUAUAUAUUUAUACUUGGCGGCUAUUAUCUUGGAGAGCAUUUAUACAAUAUAGACAUGACGUUCCGAGAGAUUUUAUUGGCGUACUUCUCAUGCAUUGCAUUCAUGUACAUGUGCAUUUACCCAUGACUCAGACGGCGUUAUAUACGCGUAUAUAUGUAUAUAUAUGGAUAUGGGACAUGGAAAAAGGUUAAGACGUUAUAUACGCACCACCACCUGAUCAGCUGGUAUACGUUGAUGAUUUUGCCCACAGUGGCACCAGAUGGCGUUAUAUACGCGUAUAUAUGUAAAUAUAUGUAUAUGGAAUAUGGGAAAAAGGUUACGGCGUUAUAUACGCACCACCACCUGAUCAACUGGUAUACGUUGAGGAUUUGCCCACAGUGGUCGAGAUGAUAUGAUGAGAUGCCCUCAAAGGCUUGAUGAUGUUAUGAAUACAUGUACUUAUGCACGACAUGACAUACAUAUGCAUAUGCAUGAUACUAUGAGUAUUUCAUUAUUUACAAAGUUAUUCCAGUUCUAAAAAUGAAGUUUGUUCUCAGGCAGGUUCGUUUAUUUCUAUGGUUUACCAGUUGAUGUGAUUUCAGAUAUAUGAAUUUUCUUGUUGCAAGAUAACAAAAAAUACAUGGCUGAUAAAGAGAAGAAAUUUACAUGUGCAUUAUAGUACUGGUAAAUUUUCUUAAGAAAAGGGAAGUAGUAAUUGUCGAAUAGUACGUAUAGGAGAUAUAACUUCCAAAGUGCAAGUGUUGAUUUUAAAAUUUCUGUCUUUUCUUUUGUGGGAUAAGGCCAGUAAUAAAUCACUAUGAUGACAUUGCAGACCGAAUAAAUAAUUUAGGUGUUACGUAUUAGCGAAAAUUAUUUGAAGCUUUAUUCUGUUGUCAAUAGUUCCAUUUCUAAUAUUCAAGAUUAUUUUGCAUAGGCCUGAAUUUUCUCACAAUAUGUCUUUAAUAAAUGUUGAAUUAUGGUUAUGUUUCAGUUCUACCUUACAUACUCGGUAUAUUAUUCGUACUGACGUCCUUCUGUUGGGGACGCUGCAUUUAUGCCUGCAUGUAUAGAUAAUUAGUUUGACGAGCCCUCAAAGUAGACGAAAUUGGCAUUUAGCUAAGGAUCGGUAAGACUCCACCUCAUUCGUAGUGCAGCCAAGUUUUAUGAGUCAUCGUGUCAGGAAAUUGCUACACACUUAUGGGUAGGCCGGUACCCUGUCCCAUUUGAUGUCAAAUAAUCGAAGAGGCUUUGUAGACAAAGGUUCAGUUUGUACAGUAUGUCAGAGUCCUUAACGACCCAUUUGUAUUCAUGUUUUUAAGAAUGAUAGUUUAUUGAUACAAUGUUGCCCACUUACAAUUGUACAUUAUGAGUUGUGGCCAUGUGGGCCCAUGAUAGUUAUAAAAAGAAUGAAUGAGUUUCUUAGGGGUUCGCUCGGGCCAGUGCGGCACCGGGUGCCAGCCACACCUCUCAAGGUUGGGGCGUGACAUAUGGACUUCAGCACUAAUCCGUUUGAUGGUGAUUUGACAUAUGAUGUGGAGCCGAUGUCCAUUUUGGAUCGGCAGGUUCGAAAGUUGAGGUCAAAAGACAUAGCUCCAGUGAAGGUGCAAUGGAGAUGUAAGCCAUUUGAGGUUGUUACUUGGGAGAUCGAGCGGGAGAUAUUGUGUAGAUAUCCACGCCUAUUUGAGACUCCAGGUACGUUUCUAGACCCAUUCGAGGACGAAUGAGUGACUAUGAGGAAUGAGCGACUGCGAGGAUGGAUUGAAUGAGAGGACCUAGUGAUUGACCCUCUGAGGGUAUGUAUAUGAUUUCAUUACUAUUUUGUUGUCACGACUUGGAUUUCCCGGCCUUAGGAGUCGUAAUGGCGCCUACUCGUGAAAGCUAGGCAAACCGAGUAAUACAGAUUUUGUUACCUUUUUCCUUAACCUUUUAGCAUUUAUGAAUUAAUAGGUGAUCAACAGCGGAAUAAUCAUAAUAAAUGGAAAUGCGGAAGAUGAAAUCUAAUAGUUUAACUAGAUACUAAUACGAAAAUCUAAAAUACAACUCUACCCAGAAUUGGUGUCACAAUAUCACAAACAAUCUACGAAUACUACAAACAGUGGUCUGAAUGGAAAAUACAAGCAUGUCUAUGAAAUACAUAAAAAAAGAAUGGAAAAGAUAGAAGGGGACGCCAAGGCCUGCGGACGUCUGCAGGACUACCUCGGGUCUCCGCCGCUGGACUCAAGGCAGCAACCUCACUGUGGUCCAAAACCUCCAGCACCGAAUCUGCACACAGUGCAGAGUGUAGUAUCAGCACAACCAACUCCAUUUGUUGGUAAGUGUCGAGCCUAACCUCGACGAAAUAGUGACGAGGCUAGGACAAGACUACCAAAUAAACCUGUGCAGCUAUUUCAUAUAUAGCAAAUAAUAACAACAGAAACUAGCAGUUAAAGAUGGGAAGGGGGACAUGCUGCGGGGGAUAAUAGGUACUACCAGAAUUUCAGUAGAGAAGCACAAAGAACACCAUAAAUCAAUUAUGAGCAAGAAUAAGGAAAACAAUAACAAGUGCACGACAUCACCCUUCGUGCUUUUGCUCUCGUCCUCACCAUAAAAAUCAAUAGAUUUAGCACAGCAUCACCCUUCGUACUUUUACCUCACAUAAUCAUGGCACGACAUUAUCUUUCGUGUAUUAUCACUCAAAUCAUGGCACGAUAUCACCCUUCGUGCUGUUACAUUCACAAUAUCGGCACGGCAUCACUCUUCGUGCUUACCACUCAUCCUUACCCAAGCAACAAUCACAAGCAAUCCGAGAAAAGGAAUCAAUAAAAAUCACAAUAGAAUCCCGGCAAGGGAAUAAUGGUAUAACAAAAAUAUCCCGGCAAGGGAAACAAUAUCAUAAGUAAUAACAUCCCGGCAAGGGAAACAAUAUCAUAAACCUCUUCUCUUUUCUACAAUUACUUCACAACACAAUUCUCAACUUAAGCCAAUGCUCUACAAUGUUCAAUUACAAAGAAUACUUCCAUAAGCCUUGUUCAACAUUAAAAACCAUAAUAUUAAGCAUGGAUAAUAUAUAACGGAGUCACAACAAUCAUAGUAUAAGACUCACGGGCAUGCUUGACACCAACGUAUAGGUACUCAUCACCACACCUAUACGUCGUACUCAACAAUUAACACAUAUCAAUAAGACCACGACUCUUAUUCCCUCAAGCUAAGGUUAGACCAAAUACUUACCUUAAUGCCACGAACACAAUCAAGCCUCAACUACCGCUUUACCUCUUGAUUCCACCACCAACCCGCUUGUAUUAAUGAUUUGGAGAAGAACUUUUCUUUGGAAAGUCGCCCAAGAGAGCUUAGGGUUUGAGAAAGUUUGAAAAAUGAAGAAAUUUUGUCUAAUUUAUAGUUUGCACAGGUACUGAUAUCGCUUUUGCGAUGUUAGGUUUGCAAAGGCGAAAACGCAAAUGCGGCCAAGACUUCACAAAUGCGAAGGUAGGUCUGCCCUGCUUUCUUCGCAAAUGCGAACUACCGUUCGCAACUACGAUCCCUGCUGAAGUCGCAUUUGCGACAUUGAGCCUCGCAAAUGCGAAGGUCUCCCUGCCUAGCCCAUCUUCGCAAUUGCGAUAUUUCUUCGCAAAUGUGAGCUCGCAUUUGCGAGCCAGGCUUCGUACAACCUCCCAAGCGCUAGGUUCAAGCAACUUCAUUCUUCGAAAAUCCCAGACUGCGAAGGCGUCGCCCAGAGACGACGUGACAAGAAAAAUGAAAAACAACAUCGGUGCCCCACGGAUUCUUGCGCUGUUCAUCACUGCAAAAUAGAUUGAGCUACGGACAUCAAGGGACCGAGAUUAUAUGCUGCUGCAAAAGAGGAAUCGAAGGAGUUGGUUGAAAGUUAAGGAUAGCGUGAUUGGCCGAUUGGUUGCGAAGCCUGCAUAUCUACAACACACCAGCUGCUGCUCCUAAGUUCAAAACACUUUGCGGCCUAUCCAAAACUCAGGUGUUCUUCUUGUUGUAUAAUUUGUAUAUCUUUUUCAGUCAUAAUUUUCUUCAUCUGAUUCUUCUAUAUCCUUGUUUAUUUCAUUUUCAGAGAACUCAUUUUCUGAUAUCUCAUAUAUGUUGUCUUCACUGCUGUCCAAAAACAUCAUACAGACUUGCUCGUGUGAUCAAAUCAUCAAAAUAACAUCAACAUCUAUAAAUUAAACCUCAAUUUCUUGAAAUCACCUAAGAACAUCAAAUUUCCAUUUUUCUCAAAUAAAGGUUCGAUUUAUACCAAACGAACUCCGAUUCUUACCAAACUUUACAGAUUCAACUUAAUUAUUAUAUAAGACUUAUACCGGGCUCCAAAACCAAAAUACGGGUCCGAUACCAUCAAAUUCAAACAUCUUUAAAUUUCCAAAAAUUCUUAUAAUUUCAGUUAAACAAUUUCUUUCAAAAAUUUAUUUCUCGGGCUUGGGACCUCGGAAUUCGAUUCCAGGCAUAUGCCCAAGUCCCAUAUUUUACUUGGACCCUAUGAGACCGUCGAAUCACGGGUUCGGGUCCGUUUACCAAGAAUAUUGACCAAAGUCAACUUUAAUCAAUUUUAGGCCAAUUUCCAUGUUUUACUUUGAUUUCACAUAAAAGCUUUUCGAAAAUAAGCCCGGACUGCUCACACAAAUCGAUGCGAGAUAAAAAGAGGGUUUUAAGGCCUCGGAACACAAAAUUUACUUUCAAAAGGAGUGAUGACCUUUUGGGUCAAGGUCAUCAUAUUCUCUACCUCUAAAACAAUCGUUCAUCCUCGAACGAACAGAAGAAAAGUACUUGAGUCGGAGAAAAGAUGGGAAUAUCGGCUCCGCAUAUCAGACUCGGAAUCCCAGGUCGUUGCCUCAAUAGGCUGACCCCUCCACCGAAUACGAACUAAAGGAAAACUCUUCGAUCUCAACUGGCAAACCUGCCGGUCUAGAAUAGUAACUGGCUCCUCCUCAUAGGACAAGUCCUUGUCCGACUGGACAAUGCUGAAGUCUAACACGUGGGAUGGAUCGCCGUGAUACUUUCAAAGUAUGGACACAUGAAAUUCUGGAUGUACGGCUGAUAAACUUGGCGGCAACGCAAGUCUGUAAGCCACAUCUCCCACUCGAACAAGAAUCUCAAAAGGACCAAUGAAUCUAGGGCUUAGCUUGCCCUUCUUUCCAAAUCUCAUCAUGCCCUUCAUAGGCACUACCCGAAGCAACACCCGCUCGCCGAUCAUGAAUGCCACAUCACGAACCUUGCGGUCGGCAUAACUCUUUUGCCUGGACUGAGUUGUACAAAGCCUAUCCUGAAUGAUCUUAGCCUUGUCCAAAGCAUCCUGCACUAGAUCCGUACCCAACAACCUAGCAUGUCCCGGCUCAAACCACCCAACUGGCGACCGACACCGCCUACCAUAUAAAGACUCAUAGGGAGCUAUCUAGAUGCUCGACUAAUAGUUGUUGUUAUAGGCAAACUCCGCUAAAGGCAAGAACUGAUCCCACGAGCCUCCAAAGUCAAUAACACAAGCUCAAAGCAUAUCCUCCAAAAUUUGAAUAGUACGCUCGGACUUCCCGUCCGUCUGAGGAUAAAAUGUUGUGCUCAACUCGACCCGUGUGCCCAACUCACACUGAACUUCCCUCCAGAAAUGUGAGGUAAACUGUGUACCUCGGUCAGAAAUGAUAGACACGGGCACACCAUGAAGAUGAACAAUCUCCUAGAUAUAGAUCUCUGCCAACCGCUCCGAAGAAUAGGAAACUGCCAUAGGAAUGAAGUGCGCUGACUUGGUCAGCCUAUCUACAAUAACCCACACUACAUCGAACUUCCUUUGAGUCCGUGGGAGUCCAACAACGAAGUCCAUAGUGAUACACUCUCACUUUCACUUAGGAAUCUCAAUCUUCUGGAACCAACCACCAGGUGUCUGAUGCUCGUACUUUACCUGUUUACAAUUCAAAUACCGAGCCACAUAUGCAAAAAUAUUCUUCUUCAUCCUCCUCCACCAAUAAUGUUUUUGCAAGUCCUGAUACAUCUUAGCGGCGCCCGGAUGAAUAGAGUAACGAGAACUAUAGGCCUCCUCUAGAAUUAACUCUCAAAGCCCAUCCACAUUAGGCACACAAACUCGACUCUGCAUCCUCAAAACUCCAUCAUCUCCUAAUGUAACCUGCUUGGCACCACCGUGUCGCACUGUCCCCCUAAGGACACACAUAUGAGCAUCAUCAUAGUGUCGAUCUCUGAUAUGCUCAAAUAAUGAAGAACGAGCGACUAUACAAGAUAACACACGGCUGGGCUCAAAAAUAUCCAACCUCACGAACUGAUUGGCCAAAGCCAGAACAUCCAAAGCAAGCGAUCUCUCAUCGAUCGAAAUAUACGCAAGACUGCCCAUACUGGCUGACUUUCUACUCAAAGCAUCAGCCACUACAUUGGCCUUCCCCGGAUGAUAUAAGAUGGUGAUAUCAUAUUCUUUCAAUAGCUCUAACCACCUUCUCUGCCUCAAAUUUAGCUCAUUCUGCUUGAACAAGUACCGUAGACUCUUAUGAUCCGUGAACACCUUACAUGACACGCCAUAUAAAUAGUGCCUCCAAAUCUUCAAUGCGUGAACAAUGGCUGCUAAUUCCAAAUUAUGAACUGGAUAAUUCUUCUUAUGAAUCUUCAAUUGUCGCAAAGCAUAAGCAAUGACCUUGCCAUCCUGCAUCAACACCGCACCAGGUCCAACACGAGAUGCAUUACAAUAGACUAUAUAUGAACCUGAACCUGUAGGCAAAACCAACACCGGCGCCAUAGUCAAAUCUGUAUUAAACUUUUGAAAGCUCGCCUCACACUCGUCCGACCACCUGAACUAGGAACCCUUCUGGGUCAACCUGUUUAUCGGGGCUACAAUAAAUGAAAACCCCUCCAUAAACCGACGGUAAUAGCUCUCCAAACCCAAGAAACUUCGGAUCUCUAUAGCUGAUGCAGGUCUAGGCCAGUCCUUGACUACCUCUAUCUUUUUCAGAUCCACCUGAAUACCCUCUACUGAUACAACAUCUCCCAAGAAUGCAAGUGAGCUCAACCAGAAUUCACAUUUCAAAAACUUAGCAUAUAACUGACUAUAUCUCAAAGUCUGAAGAACCACUAUUAGAUGUUGCUCAUGUUUCUCUCGGCUACGGGAAUAGAUCAAAUAUCAUCAAUGAAAACUAUCAUGAAUGAAUCCAAGUAAGGCUUGAACAUUCGGUUCAUCAAAUCCAUGAAAGAUGUUGGGGCAUUUAUCAACCCGAAUGACAUUACCAAGAACUCAUAAUGUCCGUACCGAGUGCGGAAAGCUGUCUUAGGGACAUCAGAUGCCCUAAUCCUCAACUGAUGGUAGCCAUAUCUCAAAUCAAACUUUGAAAAUAUCUUGGCACCCUGAAGCUGAUCAAAUAAUUCAUCAAUCCUUCGCAACAGACACUUAUUAUUGAUUGUGUCAUUGUUCAGCUGCCGAUAAUCUAUGCACAUCCUCAUCGAUCAGUCCUUCUUCUUAACAAACAACAUCGGCGCACCCCAAGGCGAGACACUAGGUCUAAUAAAUCCCUUAUCAAGCAAGUCUUGCAACUAUUCUUUCAAUUCUUUUAACUCUGGCGGGGCCAUACGAUAUGGCAGGAUAGAAAUGGGCCGAAUACCCGGAGCCAAAUCAAUGCAGAAGUCAAUAUCCAUGUCAAGUGGCAUAUCCGGCAGGUCUGAAGGAAAUACCUCAGGAAACUCACGAACAACAAGCACAAAAUCCAUAGAAAGAACCUCGGUACUAGAAUCACGAACAUACGCCAAAUAGGCCAAACAUCCCUUCUCAACCAGAUGCUGAGCCUUCAUAUAUGAGAUAACCCUAUAGGUCGAAUGACCAGGAGACCCUCUCCACUCUAAACGAGGUAAACCCGGCAAGGCUAAGGUCACAGUCUUGGCAUGACAGUCUAAGAUAGCAUGGUAAGGUGAUAACUAGUCCAUCCCCAAUAUGACAACAAAAUCAACCAUAUCCAAAAGUAACAGAUCUACUCGGGUCUCAAGACCCCCAAUCACAACUAUACAUGAACGAUGGAUAUGAUCUACUACAAUAGAAUCACUCAUCGGUGUAGACACAUAUAUAGGAGCAAUUAAGGAAUCACUAGGCAUGACCAAAUAAAGUGCAAAAUAAGAUGACACAUAGGAGUAUAUAGAUCCUGGAUCAAAUAGAACUGAGGCAUCUCUACUACAAACCAGAACAGUACCUGUGAUAACUACAUCGGAGGCCUCAGCCUCAGGCCUGGCUGGAAGAGCAUAAUAUCGAGGCUGGCCCCCACCACUCUGAACUACAUAUUUGGGACGGCCUCCUGCUGGCUGGCCUCCAACUCUAGCAGCCUGACCUCCACCUCUAAUACCUCUACCUCCACCUCUAGCACCUCUACCCCCCACCUCUAGCUGGCUGAGCUGGCAGUGGAACACUCGGUGCCUGAACCAUACCACGGGAACCCUGAUGCUGAGAUCUACUUAGUGGUCGAGGGAAAAAUCUAACAAUAUGCCUCGUAUCGCAACAAGUAUAACAAGCCCUCGGCUGUUGGGACUGAUGACCCUAAAAACUCUAGAGUGGAGGCACACUGAUAGGAGUUGGCGAUGCACUCUAGGGCAGCUAAUUAGAAUACUGCAUAUGAGAACCACAGCCAUCUGGGGCACCGUGAGAAGCCUGUAGAGCUGAAUGAAAUGGCCUCGAAGGAUGACCCCUACCAAAAGAAUCCCUGCCUCUAGAUGAGGAACCACUGAACCUGCCCGAAUGAUGGGGUCUCUUGUCAAACCCCUGACCAAACCCUGUGAUAGAACCAUCUCAACUCUCCUGGACACAUUGGCCGCAUCCUAAAAUGAAAUCUUUCUCCCCGUCUUCUUGGCCAUCUGCAAUCAAACAGGCUAAAUGAGUCCCUCAAUGAACCUCCUCACUCUCUAUCUCAGUAGGAAGUAUAAGAAGAGCAUGACGGGCCAAGUUAAUAAAUAUAGUCUCGUACUGGGUGACAAUCAUACAACCUUGCUGGAGACGCUCAAACUACCUCUGAUAGUUCUCCCUCUGAGUGAUUGGAAGAAACUUCUCCAGAUAUAGCUGAGAAAACUAAUCCCAAGUCAAAGCUGAUGACCCAACUAGUCUAGACAAACAAUAAUAUCUCCACCAAGUCUUGGCGGAUCCAGACAGACAAAAAGCAGCAAAGUCGACCCAAUUGGUCUCCACUAUCCCCAUGUUCCGCAAAACCUCAUGAUAGCUAUCCAAAUAAUCCUGGGGAUCCUCAGAAGAUGUACCACCAAAAGUGGUAGUGAAAAGCUUGGUGAACCUGUCCAACCUCUACAAGGCAUCAACAAACAUAGCUAGCCCCUCACCGGUAUAUGCCAUAACACCCGGCUGAACUACUCUAACUGGCUAAGCUGCUGGAGUCUGAAACUGGGGAGCCAUCUGCUCUGGAGUGCGAGUAGCAGGAGUCUGGGCUCCUCCUCCAGCCUGAGAGACGGUUGGUGCUACAGGAAGCAAUACUGCCUGGGCGACACUCUCCAUAUGGUCCACUAGUCGGACCAGAGCAUCCUGAAGUACUGGGUGGCAAUGAACCCCUUUGGGACCUGAGCUGGUCCUGCUAGAACUGACUGGGCUGGAACCUCAUCGUCAAACUCAAUCUGAGGCUUCGCCGCUGGUGCUGCUGCUCGAGCUAUGGGCUGAGCUCUACCUCUACCUCAGGCCCUAGCACGGCCUCAGCCUCUAUACCUUGCAUGAGCUGCUAAUAGGGAUCAGGCUGUGUCAGUUAGUGAAGUGGCAUGUGUCCUUACCAUCUGCGAAAGAACAGAGUGGAAGUUCAAUUAGCAUUGAGAAAUCAAGUCGCAUGACAACAAAGAAUAGAUGUGAAAUUUUUCCUAACUCUGUAGCCUCGGGGGGAUAAAUACAGACAUCUCCGUACCUAUCUCUCAUACCCUACUAAGCUUGUCCGUGAAUUGUGAGACCUAAGCAACCUAGAUAUCUGAUACCAACUUGUCACAAUCCGGAUUUCCCACCCUCAGGAGUCGUGAUGGCGCCUACUCGUGAAAGCUAGGCAAGCCAAGUAAUACAAAUUUUGUUACCCUUUUUCCUUAACCUUUUAACAUUUACGAAUUAACAGGUGAUCAACAGUAAAAUAAUCAUAAUAAACGGAAAUGCAGAAGAUGAAAUCUAAUAGUUUAACUAGAUANNNNNNNNNNNNNNNNNNNNNNNNNCCUUAACCUUCUAACAUUUACGAAUUAACAGGUGAUCAACAGUAAAAUAAUCAUAAUAAACGGAAAUGCAGAAGAUGAAAUCUAAUAGUUUAACUAGAUACUAAUACGAAAUCCCAAAAUACAACUACCUAAAAUUGGUGUCACAGUAUCACGGACUAUCUACGAAUACUACAAACAGUGGUCUAAAUGAAAAAUACAAGUCUGUUUCUGAAAUACAUAAAAACAUAAUGGAAAUGAUAGAAGGGGACGCCAAGGCCUGGGGAUGUCUGCAUGACUACCUCGGGUCUCCGCCACUGGACUGAAGGCAGCAACCUCAUUAUGGUCGAAAAGCUCCAGCACCGGGAUCUGCACACAGUGCAGAGUGUAGCAUUAGCACAACCGACCAUGUGCUGGUAAGUGUCGAGCCUAACCUCGGUGAAGUAGUGACGAGGCUAGGACAAGACUACCAAAUAAACAUGUGCAGCUAUAUCAUAUACAGCAAAUAAUAACAUCAGAAACUAGUAGUUAAAGAUGGGAAGGGGGACAUGCUACAGGGGAUAACAAGUACUAACAGAAUUUCAGUAGAGAAGCACAAAGAACUCCAUAAAUCAAUUAUGAUCAAGAAUAAGGAAAACAGUAACAAGUGCACGGCAUCACCCUUCGUGCUUUUACUCUUGUCCUAACCAUAAAAAUCAAUAGAUUCGACACGGCAUCACCCUUCGUGCUUUUACCUCACAUAAAUGGAACGACAUUAUCCUUCGUGCAUUAUCACUCAUAUAAUGGCAUGACAUCACCCUUUGUACUUUUACAUUCAUAAUAUCGGCACGGCAUCACCCUUCGUGCAUUAACACUCACUCACAAAUAUCACACACGACAUCACCCUUCGUGCUUUCCACUCAUCCUUACCCAAGUAACAAUCACAAGCAAUUCGGGCAAGGGAAUCAAUAAAAAUCAUAAUAGAAUCUCAUCAAGGAAAAAUUGGUAUAACAAAAAUAUCCCGGCAAGGGAAACAAUAUCAUAAGUAAUAACAUCCCGGCAAUGGUAACAAUAUCAUAAGUAAUAACAUCCUGGCAAAGGAAACAAUAUCAUAAAUCUCUUCUCUUUUCCACAAUUACUUCAUAGCACAAUUCUCAACUUGAGCCAAUGCUCUACAAUGUUCAAUUACCAAGAAUACUUCCAUAAGCCUUGUUCAACAAUAAAAAUCAUCAUAUUAAGCAUGGAUAAUACAUAAUGGAGUCACAACAAUCAUAGUAUAAGACUCACGGACAUGCUUGACACCAACGUAUAGGUACUCGUCACCACACCUAUACAUCGUACUUAAUAAUUACCACAUAGCAAUAAGACCACGACUCCUAUUAACUCAAGCUAAGGUUAGACCAAACAUUUACCUCAAUACCACUAACCCUUUUGUAUUAAUGAUUUGGAGAAAAACUUUUCUUUGGAAAAUCGCCCAAGAGAGCUUAGGGUUUGAGAGAGUUUGAAAAAUGAAGAAAUUUCGUCUAAGUUAUAAUUUGCACAAAUGCAGAUAUCGCAUUUACGAUGUCAGGUUUGUAAAUACGAACUUGAAAAUGCGGCCCAGGCUUCGCAAAUGCGAAGGUAGGACUGCCCUGCUUUCUUCGCAAAUGCGAUCUACCGUUCGCAAUUGCGAACCCUGCUGAAUUCGCACUUGCGACAUUAAGCCUCGCAAAUGCGAAGGUCUCCUUACCCAUUCCAUCUUCGCAAUUGUGAUAUUUCUUGACAAAUGAGAGCUCGCAUUUGCGAGCCUAGAUGCGCAAUUGCAACACACCAGCUGUUGCUUCUAAGUUCAAAACACUUUGUGGCCUAUCCAAAACUCAACCGAGCCCUCGGGACUCUUAACCAAACAUGCACGCAAGUCCAAAAAUAUCAUACGGACUUGCUCGUACGAUCAAAUAAUCAAAAUAACAUCAACAACUAUGAAUUAAACCUAAUACGGGCCUUAAAAACGAACUCCAAUUCUCAAAUAAAGAUCCGAUUUAUACAAACGAUCUCCAAUUCUUACCAGACUUCACAGAUUCAACUUAAUUAUUAUAUAAGACUUGUAUCGGGCUCUGGAACCAAAAUACGGGCCUGAUACCAUCAAAUUCAAACAUCUUUAAAUUUCCAAAAACUCUUAUAAUUUUAGUUAAACAAUUUCUUUCAAAAAUUUAUUUCUCGGGCUUGGAACCUCGAAAUUCGAUUCCGGUCAUACGCCCAAGUCCCAUAUUUUACUAUGGACCCUACGAGACCGUCGGAUCACGGGUCCAAGUUCAUUUUCCAAGAAUGUUGACCAAAGUAAACAUUAAUCAAUUUUUAAAGGGCAAUUUCCUUAUUUUAAUUUGAUUUCACAUAAAAGCUUUCUGUAAACGCGCCCGGGCUGUGCACACAAAUCUAGGUAAGACAAAAAGAGGUUUUUAAGGCCUCAGAACACAAAAUUUACUUUCAAAACGAGUAAAGGGUCAUCACAUUUGAACUUCAGGUUGCAUAUAUAACUGACAUAUUGAUAUCGAGAUGUACCAUAUCUUGUCUCAAUUGAACUUGACAUGAUUUACCUGUUUGGGCUUUAACUAUUAAACUUGAAAGCAUGCCAACAUUUUUGUACUGUAAUUCUAUAGUUGAACUAUACCUGUGAAGCUCGUCACUACUUUCAGCCUAAUAGUUAGACUUGUUACUUACUGAGUUGGUUGUACUCAUGCAACACCCUGCACUUCAUGUGCAUAUCCAGGUGUUUUCGGGCACGGUGGUUGCUGAUUCUCAGAGUUUGUCCUCAUUCAGAGAUUAUCGAGGUAGUUACCUGUCACGACCCUAAACCCGGACCCAGUCGUAAUGGCGCCUCUCAUGAAGACAAGGCCAGUCGACCCCUCCAAUUUCCAAUUAUUAACAGUUAAACCAUAAGAAAUAAAUCUAAAUCAUGAUAAGAUAAUCCAAAGUUAACAGUUAAUAGCACAACUUGCGGGAUACAACCCAACACAGCCCGAUAGCAGGGUGUCACUAGUCAUGAGCAUCUAAACAAUCCGGAAUACUCCAAAUCAAACUACAGAGUUUAAUACAGCAACAAAGAACAUGAAGAAAUUAGAUAGGGAAGAGCUCAGGGCUGUGAAUGCCGAUAGCUACCUAGAGACUCCUCGGAUCCACCUGAGCUGGAAAUGAUUAGUACUUGGGAGCGGGACCAGAUACACAUGAAUCUGCACACAGGGUGCAGGGAGUAAAGUGAGUACUCCAAUUCAGUGAGUAAUAAUCAUAAAUAAAGACUGAAAGCAGGAAAAUCACGUAAGGCACAACGCAUGCUAUAAUGAAGCAGUAAAAACCUUGAAAACAGUAAACCAGUGAAAGAUAGGAAAAAAUCCUUUAACUCAAAUUUAACUUAAUGAAAAGCCUUUUUCAACAAUUAAGCAGGUAAUUUGGCAUGCAAUUAAGAAAAGAUAAACACAUAAAGGUUCACCCCUCAGGCACCGUAUCAAUAAAUACGCCCCUCGGGCAACAUCUCAGAACAAUACCAGCCCCUCGGGCUCAAUCUCACAUCACAAUGGGUACUCGCGCUCACUGGGGGUGUGCAGACUCCUGUAAGCACAAUAUCAAGCCAUCUCGUGGCAUCAUCACUAGGCUCUCGGCCUCAUAUCAAUCAAGCCACCUCGUGGCAUACAUAUCUCAGGCCCUCGGCCUCAUAAUCAUAACCAAAUGUUUCCUCAAGACACAGGCCCUCGGCCUUACUCAGUCAAAAUCCUCACAAGCCACUCGGGCAACAGUAAAACAGUGAUUCUCAGCCCAAUUAUCAGUAGAAAAAUCAUUUAAGUAAUAAAACAGAAAACAUGGCUGAGUAUGAAAACCGUGGAAAAUAACAUGACUGAGUUCAUGUAUAAAGUCAAAGCAGUAAAGAAAUAUCAAUAAAAAUCCCCGAACGGUUCAAAUAGUUGGCACAAGGCCCAAAUAUGGCAUUCACCCCAAAUCAUGAUGAUAGCAAAUAGAUUUCAGUUAAAUACAUGGUAAAAUAGUCAUUCAGGACGGACUGAGUCACAAUCCCCAACAGUGCACGACCCCUCGAAUCGGCCUCCACUCGCGUUGAAUCUAUCCAAAAUCAUAACCACAGUCAAAAUAUGCUAAGGGAACGAAGCCCAAGCGAAAAUAAUCAAUAUACGACACCAAUCCCAAAAUUACCAAAACCCGACCCCCGGGCCCACAUCUCGGAAUUUGAUAAUUUUUACAUCAGUAGAUUCCUUAUAUCUCCACGAGUUCAUACAUAUCAAAAUUUCUGAAAUCCGACCUCAAAUGGUCCUUCAAAUCCUCAAGCAAAGGUUUAAGUUUCCAAGCCCUAGUUUCCCCAAUUUUAGCCCUUAAAUUCCAUUAAUUAUAGCUCUAAUCUAUGAAAUAAUAGCAUAAGAACGAGUUUUAGGUCCAAAUUCCUUACCUCAAUGANNNNNNNNNNNNNNNNNNNNNNNNNNNNNNNNNNNNNNNNNNNNNNNNNNNNNNNNNNNNNNNNNNNNNNNNNNNNNNNNNNNNNNNNNNNNNNNNNNNNNNNNNNNNNNNNNNNNNNNNNNNNNNNNNNNNNNNNNNNNNNNNNNNNNNNNNNNNNNNNNNNNNNNNNNNNNNNNNNNNNNNNNNNNNNNNNNNNNNNNNNNNNNNNNNNNNNNNNNNNNNNNNNNNNNNNNNNNNNNNNNNNNNNNNNNNNNNNNNNNNNNNNNNNNNNNNNNNNNNNNNNNNNNNNNNNNNNNNNNNNNNNNNNNNNNNNNNNNNNNNNNNNNNNNNNNNNNNNNNNNNNNNNNNNNNNNNNNNNNNNNNNNNNNNNNNNNNNNNNNNNNNNNNNNNNNNNNNNNNNNNNNNNNNNNNNNNNNNNNNNNNNNNNNNNNNNNNNNNNNNNNNNNNNNNNNNNNNNNNNNNNNNNNNNNNNNNNNNNNNNNNNNNNNNNNNNNNNNNNNNNNNNNNNNNNNNNNNNNNNNNNNNNNNNNNNNNNNNNNNNNNNNNNNNNNNNNNNNNNNNNNNNNNNNNNNNNNNNNNNNNNNNNNNNNNNNNNNNNNNNNNNNNNNNNNNNNNNNNNNNNNNNNNNNNNNNNNNNNNNNNNNNNNNNNNNNNNNNNNNNNNNNNNNNNNNNNNNNNNNNNNNNNNNNNNNNNNNNNNNNNCGGCCCUAUAACUGCUUCUGUGGUGCCGCAUUUGUGGCAAAGCAACCGCUUCUGCGGUUUUCCCGCAUCUGCGAUCCCUUAUCCGCAUCUGCGACAUUGCAGAUACGGUCCUCCUCACCACUUCUGCGGUUUCUUGCCUACAUCCCAACUUCAGCUUCUGCGACUUUUUUCCGCAUAUGCGGCAUCGCACCUGCAAUCCACAGGUGCGGAAAUACCAAAAGCAACACAAUCUACAGCUGUAACAGUUCCUCAAACUCCCCUUCAACCAUCCGAAAUCACCCCGAGGCCCCCGGGACCUCAACCAAAAGCACCAACAUAUCCCAAAACCUUAUUCAAACUUGUACCAAUCUUCAAAACACCUCAAACAAUAUCAAAUCAACCAAAACGCACCGGAUUCAAGCCUAAGUUCCCAAAAUCUUCUGAAUUCAACUUUUGAUCAAAAACUCAACCAAACCACGUCUGAAUAACCUGAAAUUUUGCACACACAUCCCAAAUUACACAACGGAACUACUGAAACUCUUAGAAUUCCAUUCCAACCCCUAUACCAAAAUCUCGCCUACCAACCGGAAAUGGACAAAAUAUCAACUUCGCCAAUUCAAGCCUAAAUCUACUCCGAACCUCCAAAACUCAUUUCGAUCACGCUUCUAAGUGCCAAAUCACCUCCCGAAGCUAUCUGAACCAUCAGAACUCAUAUUCGAUCCCUCUAACACAUAAGUCAACAUCCUAUUGACUUUUCCAACUCAAGCUUCCUCAAAAGAGACUAAGUGUCUCAAACCUUACCAAAAUCAUUCCAGAUUCGAUCCGACUAACCCGAUACCACAUAACAUGGAUAAACAAAGCAUAAAGAAGCAGAAAUGGGGGAAACGAAGCGGUAACUCAUGAGACGACUGGCCGGGUCGUCACAUCCUCCCCAACUUAAACAAACGUUCAUCCUCGAAUGAGUCAAGAAACAUACUAGAAGCCUCAAACAGGUGAGGAUAUGUGCUCCGCAUCUCCCACUCGGUCUCUCAUGUAGCCUCCUCCACGGGCUGACCUCUCUACUGCACUUUCAUUGAAGCUAUAUCUUUUGACCUCAACUUCCGAUCCUGAUGACCCAAAAUAGCUACUGGCUCCACAUCAUAGGUCAAAUCAUCAUCCAACUAAAUCGUGCUGAAAUACAGAACAUGAGACGAAUCCCCAAUAUACUUUCGGAGCAUAGAAACAUGAAAUACCGGAUGCACACUCGAUAAGAUGGGUAGCAAAGCAAUCUCAUAAGCCACCUCCCCAAUCCUCUGAAGCACCUCAAAAUGCCCAAUGAACUGCGGACUCAAUUUUCCUUUCUUCCCAAAUCUCAAAACACCCUUCAUGGGAGAAACCUUCAAUAGAACCUUCUCGCCAACCAUGUAGGACACAUCUCGAACCUUCCUAUUUGCAUAACUCUUUUGCCUCGACUGCGCUAUAUCGAAGCCUCUCCUGAAUCACCUUCACCUUUUUUCCAAAGCAUCAUGCACUAAGUCUGUCCCCAAUAGCCUAGCCUCACCGGGCUCGAACCAACCAACUGGAGAUCUACACCGCCUCCUAUACAAAGCCUCAUAUGGAGCCAUCUGACUACUCGACUGGUAGUUGUUGUUAUAAGCAAACUUUUCAAGCGGUAGAAACUGAUCCCAUGACCCUCCGAAAUCAAUGACACAAGCACGCAACAUGUCCUCCAAUAUCUGAAUAGUGCGCUCGGACUGCCCGUCCAUCUAAGGGUGAAAAGCUAUGCUCAACUCAACUUGAGUACCCAACUCUCGUUGCACAGACCUCCAAAACUGCUAUGUAAACUGAGUGCCCCUAUCUGAAAUGAUGGAAAGUGGGAUACCAUGCAAGCGAACAAUAUCUCGGAUAUAGAUCUCUGCAGCCACUCUGAAGAAUAGGUAGUACACACAGGAAUGAAGUGCGCGGACUUGGUCAGCCAAUCCAAAAUCACCCAAAUAGAAUCGAACUUCUUCAAAGUCCGUGGAAGUCCAACACCAAAGUCCAUAGUGAUCCGCUCCCACUUCCACUCUGGAAUAUCCAUCCGCUGAAGCAAGCUACCUAGUCUCUGAUGCUCAUAUUUUACCUGCUAACAAUUAAGACACCGAGUUACAAAUCCCACAAUGUCUUUCUUCAUUCUCUGCCACCAAUAGUGCUGCCUCAGAUCCUGAUACCUCUUCGCAGCACUUAGAUGAAUGGAAUACCGCAAACUAUGGGCCUCCUCCAGAAUCAACUCCCGAAGCCUAUCCACAUUGGGCACACAAAUCCGGCCCUGCAUCUUCAACACCCCAUCAUCACUAAUGGUCACAUCUCUGGCAUCAUCGUGCUGAACUUUGUCCUUAAGGACAAGCAAAUGCGGAUCAUCAUACUGGCGCUCUCUGAUGAGAUCAUAUAAAGAAGAUCAAGAAACCACACAAGCCAAUACUCGACUAGGCUCCAAAAUGUCUAACCUCACAAACCAAUUGGCCAAGGCCUGAACAUCAACUGCAAGAGGUCUCUCUCCAACUAGAAUAUAUGUCAAACUCCCCAUACUCACCGCCUUUCGGCUCAAGGCAUCAGCCACCAUAUUGGCCUUUCCCGGAAGGUACAAUAUAGUGAUAUCAUAAUCCUUAAGCAACUCCAACCACCUCCGCUGCCUCAAAUUAAUAUCCUUCUGCUUGAACAAGGGCUUGAAGCUACGAUGAUUAGUGAACACCUCACAAGACACACCGUACAAGUAAUGUCUCCAAAUCUUCAACGCGUGAACUAUGACAACCAACUCCAAAUAAUGAACGGGGUAGUUCUUCUCAUGGGGAUUCAACUGAGAAGAAGCAUAAGAAAUAACUCUACCCUCCUGUAUCAAAACACAACCAAUACCAACUCUCAAAGCAUCACAAUACACAGUAUAUGAACCUGAAAAAGAUGGUAAAACUAACACUGGAGAUGUGGUCAAAGCUGUCUUGAGCUUCUGAAAGCUCUCCUCACACUCGUCCGACCAUACAAAUGAAGCACCCUUCUGAAUCAACUUGGUCAAGGACGAUGCGAUAGAUGAGAAUCCCUAAACAAAAUGGCGAUAAUAACCCGCCAUACUACAACAAAAAGGGGCUUUAGUGGCAACAAAAAAUAAUAUUGGCGGCAAUAACAAUAGCCGCUAUAUCAUUUACCGACAAUUGAUCUUUAGCCGCUGAUGCCAGGGUCGGUAAAGCCUUUAGCAGUAUUUCUGUCAAAAGCUGGUAAAAGGUAUGACUUAUUGCCGCUAAAACUCAUUUGCUUUAAUGGCAAUUAUUUGCGGCAAUUAUUAUGGCUGUUAAACCCAUUCUAAAAAUGGCUAAUAAUGCUCCUUUAACAUCUAUUUUUAUAGCCGCUAAAUUCAAAAUAUUUGUUGCUAAAAGUCUAUAACUUUAGCGGUAAUUGUUUUGUGGCAAUUAGAGUGGCAACAAUAUCUCUUCUAAAAACGUCUUAGUAUGCCCCUUUAGCGUCCAUUUUAAUGGCUAGUAAAGUCAAUUAAAUUGCCGCUAAAAAUCAUCUUUAAUAGCAAUAUAAUAGCUACAAUAUCCCUGUAUAAACGUCUUAAUCCUGUUAAAUUAUCACUAAAAUUCACAAGCUAUAAUGGUAAGUUUAGCCACCAUUAAUAAUAGUUACUACAUUCGACCAAAAAAUAAUGCAAAUAACAAAACAUAAUAAUAUUAAUUCAUAAAACUAUAGUAUAUCUCAUCAAAUCUUAACAAACAAAAGGAAGUACUAAUCCAAAAUAUUAAUAUCACAAAACCUUAAAAAAUAACUCAUAUUGUUUGAAGUAAAUAGCUAAUGUCAUUAUAUAACUAAUAUUAACGAAUAACAAUCUUCAAAUAAUCUCUGAAACUCUUCGUCAUAUUGAAAUCUUCCACCCGCUAAAUUAUCGAACAUCAGAUUGUAUGACCUGAAAUAAUAAAAUAACUAUGUCAAUAGAUAAAAUAUAAUAAUAGUGAAGCAUGUCACUUUAAUCUGCUUAUAAUACUAAAUAGAUUAGACAAAGAAUGUUUCUGUAAGUUGAUAUGUGAUUGAAGUAAUAUCAGCAUGGAUCAAAGAACACAAGGGAAGAAAGGAAAAGAGUAGAGAUGUUUACAAAAUACUAAAGUAAGGAGAAAAGAGAUACCUAGUCAAUACAUAAAUCUGGGCAGUGUUUACGUUGGCAGCUAAUUCACAGCUGCAAUUUUUUGGAACACUACCUUUUGGAUCAAAUUAUGGGUACAAUGGAGAUAGUAUGGAACAACCAACAAUUACACAUGAUAUGUGUGUAAUUCAAGGAGGGAACAAACAACAUAUGUGUAAAAAACAGAAGCAAAGGAUGUUGGGCAGUCUUAUUUGCAACAUAUAGACUUAUAUUGUUUCUUCUGUUGAGUACAAGAAAAUUCAAGUCCCAACAUUAACACGGUUAUGGCAGAAGGACUCGUGUGAAACAAUUAAGUGUUUUCGUCCAUUAGUUCAGUUGUUGUCACAAACACAACAUACUCCAAAUAAGCAUUUUGACUUUCGUUUCUCCACAACGAUACUAAUCAUUCUUCAUAUCAUCUCUUUGUUUCACAUGAAACCUUUAGCUACCCACAACCAUGUAAAAUGACGAGAAAAUAAAGCAAACAUGUUCUAGAUCCACAAAAAAGCAUAGAAUUAAGGGAUAAGAGAUCACAUGAUUACAAACAGUUAUCACAUGAUAAAUAAGCAAAGUUAAGGACGAUAUAUCAGAGACUUUAUCAUGCCCAAGUAAAUGAAUUACUGUGGUGCAGUGAAUUUCCAAAGUAGGUGCACAUGCGAUGGACCAUUGCAUUCUAAACAGAGUUCAGUUUCACAGAGCUAGUGAUGUUAUGCUUCACCAGAUAAAUUAUGCUUCACCUUCUAUUUGACGAAAACAAAUAAAUAAACUUAAAAGAAGUGAGAAAUCUAAUAGAACACCAUGUUUCAGUGAGAUAUAAAUGCCUUCAUAAACACAUUUUCUAUUUCUGAAGUAUCAGUUCCUGCACAAAGUCAUUAUAAAAUUUCUCGAUCCAUUCAACUGAAACCGUUCUUUUGAGUAGAAUGAGUUCAAGGUUAUGGAACUAUUUAGGAACCAUAUCUUAUUUACGUUCCAUCUUUUGAUAGUUAAAUCAAAAAUGGUAAAACAAGAAUUCUCCGAACCUAAUCGAGGUCCUUAUUACUCAAGAAAUUUGACAAAAGCAACUGAUGCCUCAACUGCGUAUGUAGGAGAUUUUCCCAUUGUGGUCAACCAGACGAGGCAAUCAGUUACAUUUUCCAUAAUUUGACAAAUCAUGGAACCCCAACUUAUUAUAUCCAUAAUUUUCUAAGCAUCACUCCAUGCAAAAAAACUAGAGUGGAUCAGUUGAUGAGAGACAAUAAGAAUGAUCUGUGUAUAGCCACUAAUGUCAGGAUAGGUACUGCUGAUUGUAGUAAAACAAAAUAAUAGCUCUGAUUUAGUACUGGAUGUGUUAAAGUUGUUAAAAUAAGAAAUAGAGAAGUUUUCUCAUGUAAAAGUACAUGAAUACUGAAUGUGUGCAUUCAGCCAUUCACUAAGGGACAAAAGAACUAUCAUGCCUUAUAUCUGGUAAACAAUGCAGAAAAACAAAACUAAGAAAAAUCUAGAAAGUUUCCUUAUCAAACAAGCACACAGUUCUAACUGUCACAGAUAGCAGGACCAAUAAAAUAUUGACAAAACAGAAAGAAUCAAAUGACAGUAUGUCUUAACAGCUAAGUAAAACUCAAGACUCAAAUAUUGAAUUAGUCUCCAUUCUGCAGGAGAUGGAAGAAACUGUUGAAAACCAGAAAUUGGAGAUUGAGGACCUACAUAUAUUGAACCAACAAAACCUAGAGAACAAGCUUCAACAGUAGCAUACUAAUAGCCUUUAUACUACAGAUAAAUGGGAUAAACUCUUCAGAUACAUUCUAUGAGCUACCAUAAAUAAGGAUUUCAUAUGUAUCGUUAUAGUUUCGUGUCAGCUUAUGCACAAAGUGACAGACAAUCAUCUGUAGAGAACAGUUUUUUGGGUGUCUGAUAUACUUAUCAUACUGGAAACAUUGGCUACUUCUAGUAACAACUUUUAAGGAGAUGACUAAACAACUUAUGCAGUGUCCUUCUAUCCAAUUCUGUGCUUUUCUCAAGUCUCCCUUAAUCAGAUAUCUUUAGCAGUAAAACUAGCAACAGUUAUGUGUUUGCUUUUGGGGAUUCAAGUCAAAGUCAAGCUUCAGAUGGUGGUGUUAAAAGCGUUAAAAUCCAAAAACAAAAUAUGCCUGGAUGUUGCUCCAGAAUUUGAUUCCCAAAAAAUGCCAGCAAGUUUUUGGUGUUUGUGCUAACUCUUACAAGUUUACAUGAAAAUGGAAGGAGGAAAAUUCAAACAAUAGAAAACUCAAAUAGUAGCUUGUCGAAGGAUAAAGAUGAGUAGUACCGUAAGACAUUGAAGUAUUUUCAGUAAAGGUGUUAGUUCUGGAGUUCUCGCAAUUAUUCCUAGAAAGCUGGCAAGCUUUCGACCUUUUUCCCCAAUAGCUUGGUUACGAUUAAUAAACGGCACAUCAACUACCUUCACCGGAGGAAGUUUUCAAAUAUCUUUUAGUAAAGUAGGCCCACGAAUCUUUCUUGGCUCAAAAUUACCUAGAAUAUAAUAUUCAAAGGUCAUCAAAUGGCAAAAACUUAUAUGGUUAAAUCUGUUAAAGAAUAGUAUAAUGACAAAACAAUGGACAACAAAAACCGUAUACAUUUCAACACUAACUAUAUGAAUAAUGCAGCAGCACCAACAGAGGAAUGGACUGGACAUUGCGAUCGAUAAGCCACAUAGAAAAGAGUUAUGUAUGCAAACAACAGGACAUAAAUUGCAACUGGAUAGAAGCAAAUGAGAAGGAUAAAGGCGUAUACUAAUGCAUGAAUUGUAUGGGCUGGCUUUUAGUUAUACAAAUUUUAUUAGAAUUUGUGUGAUAUCAACUUUGAGUACAUUACUCAACUUUGAUAAUAGGUCUUAUGUAGUUUACAAAAUUUAUUUCGUGCACUUUUAAAAUUCCAUGACACUUUGUUUCUCCUUUUAUAUAUUAAUAAAA
This 23185-nucleotide long non-coding RNA is filed under the name Nicotiana tabacum (common tobacco). RNAcentral describes it as "long non-coding RNA (NTAB_LNC019245)". Lineage: Eukaryota; Viridiplantae; Streptophyta; Magnoliopsida; Solanales; Solanaceae. The record is from RNAcentral.